AAGGCUUUCGGGUCGUAAAACUCUGUUGUUAGGGAAGAACAAGUACGAGAGUAACUGCUCGUACCUUGACGGUACCUAACCAGAAAGCCACGGCUAACUACGUGCCAGCAGCCGCGGUAAUACGUAGGUGGCAAGCGUUAUCCGGAAUUAUUGGGCGUAAAGCGCGCGCAGGCGGUUUCUUAAGUCUGAUGUGAAAGCCCACGGCUCAACCGUGGAGGGUCAUUGGAAACUGGGGAACUUGAGUGCAGAAGAGAAAAGCGGAAUUCCACGUGUAGCGGUGAAAUGCGUAGAGAUGUGGAGGAACACCAGUGGCGAAGGCGGCUU
Molecule: ribosomal RNA, 324 nt
Filed under: Priestia megaterium
Lineage: Bacteria; Bacillati; Bacillota; Bacilli; Caryophanales; Bacillaceae
Description: bacterial SSU rRNA
Rfam family: Bacterial small subunit ribosomal RNA
Source: RNAcentral